UCUCUUCACAUCUCUGUCGUAAUCCCUAUAUAGGGCUCGCUGGCUUCGGCUGGCUAUGGCGAUAAAGUGUGGUGUGCAAUAGGCGCAGCGGACCCGGGGGCAGUACCCGGCGGCUCCACCAGAAACCCCGCUUUGGCGGGUGUCCUGACGGGGCCGAACCAGGAUCGACGUGUGUUGAAAGACAUCGCUUUCGCCCGGGCUGAGUAACCCGUUAAAGGCUCAUAACACACAAGUGCCAACGAUAACGAAGCACUCGCAAUCGCUGCGUAAUUUUACGUCCUAACGGACCGAAUUUACAAAGCUAAAGCGCGGUUGGACCCACCGGGCAACAGAAGGGAUACCAGGGGCUCGGGGUGAGCCUGGCAACAGAAUCACCCCACU
RNAcentral lists this transfer-messenger RNA (381 nucleotides) under Altericroceibacterium spongiae. RNAcentral describes it as "Altererythrobacter sp. HN-Y73 transfer-messenger RNA". It matches the Rfam family "Alphaproteobacteria transfer-messenger RNA". Rfam says of the family: Bacterial tmRNA, also known as 10Sa RNA or SsrA, is named for its dual tRNA and mRNA-like properties. Its role is to liberate the mRNA from a stalled ribosome. Lineage: Bacteria; Pseudomonadati; Pseudomonadota; Alphaproteobacteria; Sphingomonadales; Erythrobacteraceae. The record is from RNAcentral.